RNAcentral lists this transfer RNA (71 nucleotides) under Marmota monax (woodchuck). RNAcentral's name for it is "tRNA.Ala". Lineage: Eukaryota; Metazoa; Chordata; Mammalia; Rodentia; Sciuridae. The record is from RNAcentral.
GAGGUUGUAGCUCAGUGGUGGAACUCCUGCUUAGCAUGCAUGAGGUUCUGGGUUCAAUCUCCAGCACUGCA